AGGGUUCGAUUCUGGCUCAGAUUGAACGCUGGCGGCAGGCCUAACACAUGCAAGUCGAGCGCGAAAGCACUUCGGUGUGAGUAAAGCGGCGGACGGGUGAGUAACGCGUAGGAAUCUACCUAGUAGUGGGGGACAACUCGGGGAAACUCGAGCUAAUACCGCAUACGCCCUACGGGGGAAAGCGGGGGACCUUCGGGCCUCGUGCUAUUAGAUGAGCCUGCGUUGGAUUAGCUAGUUGGUGGGGUAAUGGCCUACCAAGGCGACGAUCCAUAGCUGGUCUGAGAGGAUGAUCAGCCACACCGGGACUGAGACACGGCCCGGACUCCUACGGGAGGCAGCAGUGGGGAAUAUUGCGCAAUGGGCGAAAGCCUGACGCAGCCAUGCCGCGUGUGUGAAGAAGGCCUUCGGGUUGUAAAGCACUUUCAAUUGGGAGGAAAGGUUCACGGUUAAUAACCGUGAGCUGUGACGUUACCUUUAGAAGAAGCACCGGCUAACUCCGUGCCAGCCGCCGCGGUAAUUC
Molecule: ribosomal RNA, 520 nt
Filed under: uncultured bacterium
Lineage: Bacteria
Description: bacterial SSU rRNA
Rfam family: Bacterial small subunit ribosomal RNA
Source: RNAcentral